This 253-nucleotide ribosomal RNA is filed under the name uncultured bacterium. RNAcentral's name for it is "partial 16S ribosomal RNA". It matches the Rfam family "Bacterial small subunit ribosomal RNA", at positions 524 to 776 of the family's 1533-position model. The record is from RNAcentral.
GACGUAGGGCGCGAGCGUUGUCCGGAUUUAUUGGGCGUAAAGAGCUCGUAGGCGGCUUGUUGCGUCAGCUGUGAAAACCCGCAGCUCAACUGUGGGCUUGCAGCUGAUACGGGCAGGCUUGAGUUCGGUAGGGGAGACUGGAAUUCCUGGUGUAGCGGUGAAAUGCGCAGAUAUCGAGAGGAACACCUGCGGCGAAGGCGGGUUGCUGGGCUGACACUGACGCUGAAGUGCGAAAGCUAGGGGAGCGAACGGG